CCUAACACAUGCAAGUCGAACGGUAACAGGAAGAAGCUUGCUUCUUUGCUGACGAGUGGCGGACGGGUGAGUAAUGUCUGGGAAACUGCCUGAUGGAGGGGGAUAACUACUGGAAACGGUAGCUAAUACCGCAUAACGUCGCAAGACCAAAGAGGGGGACCUUCGGGCCUCUUGCCAUCGGAUGUGCCCAGAUGGGAUUAGCUAGUAGGUGGGGUAACGGCUCACCAAGGCGACGAUCCCUAGCUGGUCUGAGGGGAUGACCAGCCACACUGGAACUGAGACACGGUCCAGACUCCUACGGGAGGCAGCAGUGGGGAAUAUUGCACAAUGGGCGCAAGCCUGAUGCAGCCAUGCCGCGUGUAUGAAGAAGGCCUU
Molecule: ribosomal RNA, 375 nt
Filed under: uncultured bacterium
Lineage: Bacteria
Description: bacterial SSU rRNA
Rfam family: Bacterial small subunit ribosomal RNA
Source: RNAcentral